CCUACAUAUGCCCUAUCGAGUUGGAAUCCUCUGCGGCUCCACGUCGAAUGGAUCCCUAUUGAUCACACACACGUGUAAACGCUCGCAUGUGCAAGUGUUGAGAUCUGUCCAACCUGCAGGGGAUCCCAACUCCUACCCCCUAAUCUAUAAUGCACCUUUAUAUUGGGACGGCAUUCUCUACUAUAGGAGCUCACACUUCCUUUCUUUAAUUGUUUUUUUUAUGGAAUAUUGUAUGUGAAAUUUACAAAAUGUACAAUAAGAUAGAGCAAUUAUAAAAAACUCAAAGUUGCAUGUCCAUUUUACCUUUUAGGAAAUUGCUCAAGUGGACCUCCACGUUGUCCUCUGUCUCUGUGUUUGUGUGUGUGUGAGAGAGAGAGAUCUAAUUAACCAAAAAUAUUUCAUUUUCUGCAACAUACAGUCCAAAAUUUAGAAGUACAUCUAAUGAAAUAAUUCAGUUUAGACUUGAGACAUCUCACUGAGACAAAGAUGCCAUUUAAUUUUGUGUAUGAAUAUUGUUUCCCAUCCAAAUCCCCAAUAUGAGCUCCACAGAACACAUUUUUAUAUUUUCUCAAAUGGAGGACAAGACCCUAUAUAUAUAUAUAUAUAUAUAUAUAUAUAUGUCUUUUUUUAAACUUAGUGUACCCAAGGACUAGGAGAUAGUGAGGUCCCCUUUGGUCUACAUGAAGAUGCAAACCAAAGCGAAGGAAGAAUUUUUUCUGUGGACCCAAUCAUUUUAAAGCAACACUGGUACCAAUUACUUUUUUUUCUUUUUUGCAAAAUACUGAUCUGACUCUCACUCUCUCUCUCUCUCUCUCUCUCUAUAUAUAUAAAUGCAAAAAGAAAUACUUCCAGUCUUCGCUCGAUCUAUAAAGAAAACGAAUCAGUCCUUACCCGCCAAGUUGAAAACUACAAUAUUUGCCUAACCCUGCUCUCUCUCUCUCUCUCUCUCUCACACACACACACACACACACACAUCAUGAUUGUUUCAACCUCAUUUUCAUUUCUAUCUCAGAAAGGGCAGUUAUUAUGUGUUGGGGAGGAUAUUUAGAAGAAAAGGGGAGAGAAUUUAAUAUGGGUGGCAGGGGUAGGGUUUUGAGGGCUUUGUUAGGAGUUGUUCUGUUCAUGGGGUUUAUCUUGUUUUUAUUAAUUGGUAUUGAAACCAACUACGAAGCCACAACCAUUACUGUAAUGAUUUCGUCGUCAGCGAAUUCUAGAUUCUUGAAUUUGAUUGGAACAGAGAGACAUGAUGUUCACUGGGAUUUGGAUCUGAAUUAUGUAAGCAAAAGGAGAGUACCUAAUGGAGCUGAUCCGAUUCAUAACAGGAAAGCAGGUAAAUUUAAACUACCACCUGGUCGAGCUUAAGUGGAAGGCAUUUGCAUGGCGAAGGAGAAAAAAAUGUUUAAGCUUGUAGGUCAUGUUUUCUUGCACUUGUUGCAGUGAACCAUGCUUCUUCACUUUGGGAUUUGUUGUCAUGUGUUUAGCAGAGAAAAGAAUCAAUAUAGCCAAGUUAUUUACUCUUGUAAUUGAUAUAGCCAAGUUACUAAUUAAGUUCCUAUUGUGCUUCUCUCUCCCUCUCUUUUUUAUUUUAUUUUUCAACCAAGUUGUUAUUGCGCCUCCUUGUUACUGAGUUUGAGUAUUGGCAGUGUGUGAUUGGUGACUUCAUGUUAAAGAAUUUGUGUAUGCUCAGAAGUUUCUUUUCUAUGAGUCCGGAUGCUCUACAGUACAACAUGGAUGUAUCACAUCAGACGGCUCAUCACACAUACACAUCGCGCAUGUGUGUGUGGUGUGCCGUUGGAUGUGGUCCCGUGCUAUUGGAUAUCAAGAGAGACAGAGAUUCAUGGAAUGGGAUUUUAGUUUGCAUGGAAAAGGAAGAAGAGAAGAGGUAGAUACAAUGAUAAAAGUUGUUGCACAAUCCAAGAAAUGUGUUAGUCUCCAGACAUCUUCUGGAGACAUGGAAGAUAAACCUAAUGGACAAUUGCUUUUGGUUUUCUGAAGCAAUACAAUACCUUUAUCUUGUGUUCCUUGUAUAAAGCUAUUCCACUUAUCAAUUAAAGCUUCUCUCUUUUCCAAAAAUGUUUUUUCCUUUAUUUGUGAUUCAAUAGUACUGUGACAAUUUCAUGUUA
This is a long non-coding RNA of Cornus florida, 2123 nucleotides long. RefSeq lists it as uncharacterized. The record is from RefSeq and is a predicted model, not a curated record. The transcript is spliced from 2 exons. NCBI's taxonomy places the organism in Eukaryota, Viridiplantae, Streptophyta, Magnoliopsida, Cornales, Cornaceae.